GCCUACGGGGCGCAGCAGUGAGGAAUAUUGGUCAAUGGGCGGGAGCCUGAACCAGCCAAGCCGCGUGAGGGAAGAAGGUACAGCGUAUCGUAAACCUCUUUUGUCAGGGAACAAAGGCGGGGACUAGUCACCGGAUGAGGGUACCUGAGGAUAAAGCAUCGGCUAAAUCCGUGCCAGCAGCCGCGGUAAUACGGAGGAUGCGAGCGUUAUCCGGAUUUAUUGGGUUUAAGGGGGGCGCAGGCGGACUGUUACGUCAGCGGGAAA
Molecule: ribosomal RNA, 264 nt
Filed under: uncultured bacterium
Lineage: Bacteria
Description: partial 16S ribosomal RNA
Rfam family: Bacterial small subunit ribosomal RNA
Source: RNAcentral